UGAAUAGGCAAAGCAAGAGAAAUCUUGUGACGCAAAGCUAUAGGGGUUAAGGCAGUUAUGCUAUACCAGCCAGUUGCUAA
This 80-nucleotide non-coding RNA is filed under the name uncultured Clostridium sp. RNAcentral describes it as "Cyclic di-GMP-I riboswitch". It matches the Rfam family "c-di-GMP-I riboswitch aptamer". From Rfam's summary of the family: GEMM was predicted in a large-scale screen for bacterial structured RNA regulatory elements. Genes associated with GEMM are involved in a diverse array of functions, including chemotaxis regulation, signal transduction, secretion and chitin. The record is from RNAcentral. Lineage: Bacteria; Bacillati; Bacillota; Clostridia; Eubacteriales; Clostridiaceae.